Long non-coding RNA from Zalophus californianus (California sea lion), 1441 nucleotides. RefSeq lists it as uncharacterized. NCBI's taxonomy places the organism in Eukaryota, Metazoa, Chordata, Mammalia, Carnivora, Otariidae. The record is from RefSeq and is a predicted model, not a curated record. The transcript has 5 exons.
AACAGCUCCCAGGACCCCCAUCUGCAAAUGCUAAGCCAGCACUGAAUCUUAGCUUCUUCCCAAAGUAGUUCCCAAAUGCACAGUUGGCACCAGAAUCACACCAGCCAGUGCAACGGACUCUCCUCAGCAGUUCCCUAGUUUGAGGGAUGUUGGCUUUCGGACAAAAGUGCCAUUGACAACGUGAAGUUACCUGUGGAGGCCAGGAUCCCUGAAGGUCGCCUCCCACUGUGGGACGAUUUGGUUCUGCGUGUGGCCCUUGCUGGUGUUGGUGCAGCAUGAGGUGACCAUGACUGAAAGAAUGCCCCGGAUGCGCACUAUGCUCGGAUCAGAAGGAACCCUAGAAGGCGGUGACCACGGCUCCUGAGGAAUCUCUGGUUUCAGCCCCAGUUGGAAGCUGCCCAUUACAACAUGGAGUUGGGUUAUAGUCUGAACUAAUCAAGAGAACUCGGAAGGUGGGCGCAGCUCAUUAAUCUGCUUGGGCUCGUUCCUGAAUGUUCGGAGCCCUGGAGUGUUAGCUAUUUUUGUGUACUCUUGAGUGAGCAAAUAAAGAGAGGAGAUCAGCUUCUACGAGCUUACGGGGAUUUGAUAUACAACGAGAGGUUUUUGUGACAGCAUGACAGAAACGUUCCCUGUGUGAAGUCUGGUCCUCUGCGAAGCAAGGAGCAAGAGAGCAUCCUGUGUGCAGGGGACCCGUAUGGCAGCGUCUGUGGUGGGAGUGUGCUGGACACAGUAAGAAAGGGCGUGCGGAUGCCCACGAUGGCAGGAAGGCCCUCGUCCUGAGCAUGGCCAUCCCCCUCCCUGUCUGGGAGAGCCCAGGGACACAUGAGCUUGGCACAGUCACCAUGCAGAUAUCAAAGUGCAACAGCUAAAGCUGACCUGUCCCCGGGGCCCCCAGCCACUGGCACUCUUGCGGGCGGACCCAGGCAGUGCACCUCAGUGUCUGUGAGGACCCCCCUCCACCGCACAGACCGGCUUCUCCUGCAUGCCUGGGAAGCACCUCUCAUCGGCCUCGUGAGCUGCUUCUCCUGAUGGGGGACAGAGGAGCUUCUGGAAGCCUGGGCAUUCCUCGGCUGGUGACCACGUCCCUCCCAGCCCUGCCACCUCUGUUCUCACAUGUCACUGGGUCUCGCCUCCCCUUCUUACAAGGACACCAAUCCUAUUGGAUUAAAGCCCACCCGAAUCCAGUGAGACCUCAUCUUCAGCUGCUUGCAUCUGCAGAAACACUGUUUCCAAGCAUGGGACAACACUCCUGUCUGGACGCUGGGCUUCUCGCACUGUGUGAUGACCUUGCUACCAAAGGAAUCCAGUAGAAUUAUAAAUUCAUUAAGGGAUGAAAAAUGACCUGAAACUACUGAGUUAGGUCUCUUGCCUGGGAUCAGAGCUGCUCUGUCAGCCUCUCUAUCUGCUGCCUUAAGAACGGCAUAGAUCCCAUAGCUUUUAC